This 419-nucleotide long non-coding RNA is filed under the name Medicago truncatula (barrel medic). RNAcentral's name for it is "long non-coding RNA (MTRU_LNC006037)". The record is from RNAcentral. Lineage: Eukaryota; Viridiplantae; Streptophyta; Magnoliopsida; Fabales; Fabaceae.
UAUCAUAUCUCCUAUUCAUUGGGCUUUCAGCUCGUUCAUAUUUGGGGCUUCCUCUUGCUUCUGGUCUGGAAGGUGGAUUUGAUCCACGGGGUGGGGGUGAUCGGCUGCAUGAAAAGUAAAAUUACCAAAAUACAAUGAGAUAUGUUACUAUCCAUAAAAUUAAAAAAUCAAAUAAAAAUUAAUUAAAUGGAUCUUACCUAUCAUAUCUCCCAUUCGCUGGGCUUUCAGCUCGUUCAUACUUUGGGCUUCCUCUUGGUUCUGGUCUGGAAGCAGGAUUUGAUCCACGACCAUAAUCAGGGCUACCCCUACCUCUACGAUAAGGACUUGGGGAUCUGCCACGACCAUACCUCCCAUCAGGAGAGCCACGACCAUACCUACCAUCAGGGGAGCCACGACCUCUUCUAUCAGGACUGUAUCCA